ACGCUCGACACCUACGGGAAGCAGCAGUGGGGAAUAUUGCACAAUGGGGGAAACCCUGAUGCAGCAACGCCGCGUGAAGGAAGACGGUUUUCGGAUUGUAAACUUCUGUUCUUAGUGAAGAUAGUGACGGUAGCUAAGGAGCAAGCCACGGCUAACUACGUGCCGACAGCCGCGGUAAUCUGAGCGGGCUGGCAAGGC
RNAcentral lists this ribosomal RNA (198 nucleotides) under uncultured bacterium. Its description in RNAcentral is "partial 16S ribosomal RNA". It matches the Rfam family "Bacterial small subunit ribosomal RNA", at positions 326 to 539 of the family's 1533-position model. The record is from RNAcentral.